GCCUACGGGGGGCAGCAGUAGGGAAUUUUCGUCAAUGGGCGCAAGCCUGAACGAGCAAUGCCGCGUGAACGAGGAAGGUCUUCGGAUCGUAAAGUUCUGUUGAAGGGGAAAAAGAGCGGAGAGAGGAAAUGGUCUCCGAUUGAUAUUACCCUUCGAGGAAGUCACGGCUAACUACGUGCCAGCAGCCGCGGUAAUACGUAGGUGGCGAGCGUUAUCCGGAAUGAUUGGGCGUAAAGGGUGCGUAGGCGGCCUGCUAAGUCUGGAGUGAAAGGUACCGGCUCAACCGGCAUAGGCGCUGGAAACUG
RNAcentral lists this ribosomal RNA (305 nucleotides) under uncultured bacterium. RNAcentral describes it as "bacterial SSU rRNA". It matches the Rfam family "Bacterial small subunit ribosomal RNA", at positions 337 to 635 of the family's 1533-position model. The record is from RNAcentral.